GGGAAGAUGGCCGAGCGGUUAUGGCGCUACGUUCAGGUCGUAGUAGGGUAACCUGCGUGGGUUCGAGUCCCACUCUUCUCA
Molecule: transfer RNA, 81 nt
Rfam family: tRNA
About the family: Transfer RNA (tRNA) molecules are approximately 80 nucleotides in length. Their secondary structure includes four short double-helical elements and three loops (D, anti-codon, and T loops).